Molecule: ribosomal RNA, 482 nt
Filed under: uncultured bacterium
Lineage: Bacteria
Description: partial 16S ribosomal RNA
Rfam family: Bacterial small subunit ribosomal RNA
Source: RNAcentral
UUGCACGCUGGCGGCAUGCUUUACCCAUGCAAGUCGCACGGCAGCGCGGGCUUCGGCCUGGCGGCGAGUGGCGAACGGGUGAGUAAUGCAUCGGAACGUGCCCAGUAGUGGGGGAUAGCCCGGCGAAAGCCGGAUUAAUACCGCAUACGACCUGAGGGUGAAAGCGGGGGACCGAAAGGCCUCGCGCUAUUGGAGCGGCCGAUGUCGGAUUAGCUAGUUGGUGGGGUAAAGGCUUACCAAGGCGACGAUCCGUAGCUGGUCUGAGAGGACGACCAGCCACACUGGGACUGAGACACGGCCCAGACUCCUACGGGAGGCAGCAGUGGGGAAUUUUGGACAAUGGGGGAAACCCUGAUCCAGCCAUGCCGCGUGCGGGAAGAAGGCCUUCGGGUUGUAAACCGCUUUUGUUCGGGAAGAAAUCCUCUGGGCUAAUACCCCGGGGGGAGGACGGUACCGGAAGAAUAAGCACCGGCUAACUACGU